RNAcentral lists this ribosomal RNA (832 nucleotides) under uncultured Chroococcidiopsis sp. RNAcentral's name for it is "bacterial SSU rRNA". It matches the Rfam family "Bacterial small subunit ribosomal RNA", at positions 119 to 982 of the family's 1533-position model. The record is from RNAcentral. Lineage: Bacteria; Bacillati; Cyanobacteriota; Cyanophyceae; Chroococcidiopsidales; Chroococcidiopsidaceae.
GAGAAUCUGGCCUCAGGUUCGGGACAACCACUGGAAACGGUGGCUAAUACCGGAUGUGCCUAUGGGUAAAAGAUUAAUUGCCUGAGGAUGAGCUCGCGUCUGAUUAGCUAGUUGGUGGGGUAAGAGCCUACCAAGGCGUCGAUCAGUAACUGGUCUGAGAGGAUGAUCAGUCACACUGGGACUGAGACACGGCCCAGACUCCUACGGGAGGCAGCAGUGGGGAAUUUUCCGCAAUGGGCGAAAGCCUGACGGAGCAAUACCGCGUGAGGGAGGAAGGCUCUUGGGUCGUAAACCUCUUUUCUCAGGGAAGAACACAAUGACGGUACCUGAGGAAUCAGCAUCGGCUAACUCCGUGCCAGCAGCCGCGGUAAUACGGAGGAUGCAAGCGUUAUCCGGAAUGAUUGGGCGUAAAGCGUCCGCAGGUGGCCAUUCAAGUCUGCUGUCAAAGACUGGGGCUUAACCCUGGAAAGGCAGUGGAAACUGAACAGCUAGAGUUGGGUAGGGGCAGAGGGAAUUCCUGGUGUAGCGGUGAAAUGCGUAGAGAUCAGGAAGAACACCGGUGGCGAAAGCGCUCUGCUGGGCCGCAACUGACACUCAUGGACGAAAGCUAGGGGAGCGAAUGGGAUUAGAUACCCCAGUAGUCCUAGCCGUAAACGAUGGAUACUAGGCGUUGCUCGUAUCGACCCGAGCAGUGUCGUAGCUAACGCGUUAAGUAUCCCGCCUGGGGAGUACGCGCGCAAGCGUGAAACUCAAAGGAAUUGACGGGGGCCCGCACAAGCGGUGGAGUAUGUGGUCUUAAUUCGAUGCAACGCGAAGAACCUUACCAGGGCUU